This 989-nucleotide ribosomal RNA is filed under the name Salmonella enterica subsp. enterica serovar Indiana. Its description in RNAcentral is "partial 23S ribosomal RNA". It matches the Rfam family "Bacterial large subunit ribosomal RNA", at positions 594 to 1503 of the family's 2925-position model. Lineage: Bacteria; Pseudomonadati; Pseudomonadota; Gammaproteobacteria; Enterobacterales; Enterobacteriaceae. The record is from RNAcentral.
UGACUGCGUACCUUUUGUAUAAUGGGUCAGCGACUUAUAUUCUGUAGCAAGGUUAACCGAAUAGGGGAGCCGGAGGGAAACCGAGUCUUAAUUGGGCGUUAAGUUGCAGGGUAUAGACCCGAAACCCGGUGAUCUAGCCAUGGGCAGGUUGAAGGUUGGGUAACACUAACUGGAGGACCGAACCGACUAAUGUUGAAAAAUUAGCGGAUGACCUGUGGCUGGGGGUGAAAGGCCAAUCAAACCGGGAGAUAGCUGGUUCUCCCCGAAAGCUAUUUAGGUAGCGCCUCGUGAAUUCAUCUCCGGGGGUAGAGCACUGUUUCGGCUAGGGGGCCAUCCCGGCUUACCAACCCGAUGCAAACUGCGAAUACCGGAGAAUGUUAUCACGGGAGACACACGGCGGGUGCUAACGUCCGUCGUGAAGAGGGAAACAACCCAGACCGCCAGCUAAGGUCCCAAAGUCAUGGUUAAGUGGGAAACGAUGUGGGAAGGCCCAGACAGCCAGGAUGUUGGCUUAGAAGCAGCCAUCAUUUAAAGAAAGCGUAAUAGCUCACUGGUCGAGUCGGCCUGCGCGGAAGAUGUAACGGGGCUAAACCAUGCACCGAAGCUGCGGCAGCGAACGUAUCACCCAAGACAACUUUGCGGAGUUGACGAUUGACGGAGCGAAGCGACGUCAAAGCGUUCAUUAAAGUCGAGUUGGCUUAGGGAUACGUUCGUUGGGUAGGGGAGCGUUCUGUAAGCCUGUGAAGGUAUGCUGUGAGGCAUGCUGGAGGUAUCAGAAGUGCGAAUGCUGACAUAAGUAACGAUAAAGCGGGUGAAAAGCCCGCUCGCCGGAAGACCAAGGGUUCCUGUCCAACGUUAAUCGGGGCAGGGUGAGUCGACCCCUAAGGCGAGGCCGAAAGGCGUAGUCGAUGGGAAACGGGUUAAUAUUCCCGUACUUGGUGUUACUGCGAAGGGGGGACGGAGAAGGCUAUGUUGGCCGGGCGACGGUU